UACGUAGGUGGCAAGCGUUUGUCCGGAAUUAUUGGGCGUAAAGCGCGCGCAGGUGGUCCUUUAAGUCUGAUGUGAAAGCCCACGGCUCAACCGUGGAGGGUCAUUGGAAACUGGGGGACUUGAGUGCAGAAGAGGAUAGUGGAAUUCCAAGUGUAGCGGUGAAAUGCGUAGAGAUUUGGAGGAACACCAGUGGCGAAGGCGACUAUCUGGUCUGUAACUGACACUGAGGCGCGAAAAGCGUGGGGAGCAAACAGG
This 255-nucleotide ribosomal RNA is filed under the name uncultured bacterium. RNAcentral's name for it is "partial 16S ribosomal RNA". It matches the Rfam family "Bacterial small subunit ribosomal RNA", at positions 524 to 776 of the family's 1533-position model. The record is from RNAcentral.